RNAcentral lists this ribosomal RNA (481 nucleotides) under uncultured bacterium. RNAcentral describes it as "partial 16S ribosomal RNA". It matches the Rfam family "Bacterial small subunit ribosomal RNA", at positions 28 to 507 of the family's 1533-position model. The record is from RNAcentral.
GAUGAACGCUGGCGGCGUGCUUAACACAUGCAAGUCGAACGAAGCAUUUGCGACAGAUUUUUUCGGAAUGAAGUUGCUUAUGACUGAGUGGCGGACGGGUGAGUAACGCGUGGGUAACCUGCCUUGUACUGGGGGAUAGCAGCUGGAAACGGCUGGUAAUACCGCAUAAGCGCACAAUGUUGCAUGACAUGGUGUGAAAAACUCCGGGGGUAUAAGAUGGACCCGCGUCUGAUUAGCUAGUUGGUGAGAUAACAGCCCACCAAGGCGACGAUCAGUAGCCGACCUGGGAGGGUGACCGGCCACAUUGGGACUGAGGCACGGCCCAGACUCCUACGGGAGGGAGCAGUGGGGAAUAUUGCACAAUGGAGGAAGCUCUGAUGCAGCGGCGCCGCGUGAGUGAGGAAGUAAUUCGUUAUGUAAAGCUCUAUCAGCAGGGAAGAUAGUGACGGUACCUGACUAAGAAGCUCCGGCUAAAUACGUG